This 227-nucleotide ribosomal RNA is filed under the name uncultured bacterium. RNAcentral's name for it is "partial 16S ribosomal RNA". It matches the Rfam family "Bacterial small subunit ribosomal RNA", at positions 109 to 334 of the family's 1533-position model. The record is from RNAcentral.
AGUAACGCGUGAGGAACCUGCCUCAAAGAGGGGGACAGCAGUUGGAAACGACUGCUAAUACCGCAUAAGCCCACAGCUCGGCAUCGAGCAGAGGGAAAAGGAGUGAUCCGCUUUGAGAUGGCCUCGCGUCCGAUUAGCUAGUUGGUGAGGUAACGGCCCACCAAGGCGACGAUCGGUAGCCGGACUGAGAGGUUGAACGGCCACAUUGGGACUGAGACACGGCCCAG